RNAcentral lists this ribosomal RNA (1495 nucleotides) under Triticum aestivum (bread wheat). RNAcentral's name for it is "partial small subunit ribosomal RNA". Lineage: Eukaryota; Viridiplantae; Streptophyta; Magnoliopsida; Poales; Poaceae. The record is from RNAcentral.
GGGGUUUAGGUAGGCAGGCAGGCAGGCAGGCAGCCGAAUUUGGGAUCGGCGGGGAGGAGGCUGAGCGGCGGCGGCGGCCAACGGUACCUCAAGACCCCGGAACUCCAAUUCGGAUUGGUCAGGCAGUUCCAAAGUGGACUACUACUGGUGAAGGAGGUAGAGAGGGUCCCACGGGAACCGCUUCAGUUCUUCCUACUGUUCCGUUGGUACAAGCAGUUCUAGCCGCUGGUCUUCGACCGGUAGCCCUGGGAGAGAUGGCUGUUCAAGGGAGUCUAGGUCAAACUGGAGCAGAAGCUCUUCCUCAAACUCGACAGUGUGUUAAGGUUCUGUAGGUCGCAGAAGAAGAGACCGAUGUUCCAAAAGGUCGGACGGCUCCCUCUACUCUACCUAAAACUAAGACUCCUACUGAGACUCCUCCUCCUUCUCUUCUAGUAAGGUCGUGAGUGGUUCCUUUUACCGUUUGGACUUCGGUUCCUCGUCUUCUUCGUCCAAUUCUAACUGUGACGACGCGGAAGUUUCAGUUUCCGGCGACGGUUCCUACACCCUUUUAGAUUCUUCCUACUACUGUCGCUACUACUACUACUGUCACUACUCCUACUGUCGCUUCUACUGAGACCACUACUACCUCGUAACUAAGGGUACCUCCUACUAAGACUACUGUCACUCCUACCACUACUGAGGAGACUACUAUCGCUCCUAUCGAGACUACUCCUCCUUCUUCUUUGUGGGUUCUUCGUUCUCUGACCCUUCUUCUCCCACCGACCUUCGCACAACUUCUGGGGACAAUGACUGUUCUUCCGGUUCUAACGUUGUGGCAGUCCGGUCUUCUGUCCACUGUUCUUCCCUCGACAGGUACACCGCUGAGGCGUGGGCCGGUUCUUCCGUCCGUUCUGGGGUCGUUGGUCACUCUUCAGCGGGUUCAGACCUCCCAGCCAGCGCACGUUCAGCACGUCGUUCUGUAAGUUGUCACUCCCGCGAGAUCGAAGCGUGAGGUUCCGGUUCGUACUCCGGUUCAUCUAAUUUUCUCCUCCUACGACCGACCGACGGAGGAUACUCUAAUAGCAAUACGAGGACAGGACACAAUCCGAUAGAUGAUAUAGGAAUACAACAGCACGCACAAGGGAUGGGAUGGAAAGGAAUGGAUCGGAGUAGGAAUAGGAAAACCUUCCCUUCCCUUCCGUUCCGUUCCGUUCAAUUCCCUCUUUGGCAACUCGACAAUCACUACUACUCAACAACGGCACUAAGCCUUAACCUUAACCAACCACCUUACGAUACCAACGAGCAAAACUUGCUUACUAAGGAGACACCAAACCCUACGUUUACGAAAUAAAAACCGAACAAAGAACCACACAAACUUGAACUAACGAGAACAAAGGACAACUCCAGUAGAAAAAAACGUCGAAACGAGGUGUCUUUUUACGUUUGUUCAAUAUAUAUUAUCUAAAUCGUAUGAAAAAUAUUCGUUUGUGACUUACGUAAAAAAAAGUUUAAUAUU